Long non-coding RNA from Apis cerana (Asiatic honeybee), 1017 nucleotides. RefSeq lists it as uncharacterized. The record is from RefSeq and is a predicted model, not a curated record. NCBI's taxonomy places the organism in Eukaryota, Metazoa, Arthropoda, Insecta, Hymenoptera, Apidae.
GAUUCGCGCGGUAAAUUCUCGUACACGUGGGUGGCGGAUUAGGCGGGAAGAUAGCGUCGUGGUGAUCCGUAAAAGGCGCCGACAAAGUCGCGUGCCCGGGAGAAACGUGAUGAAAGCGAUACCGGGUGGAUCCGGCGGAAGCGCGCCACUUCGCCUUGCGUUGUUCUCCUGUGUCUGGCGAAUCUGUGGCCACGGGUAGAAACAAGACGACGCGGAGUGUCGGUUGGGAAGGCAAGCUUCUUGAAGAAUUACACGCCUGCUCUAAUUAAGGGUUUUCCUUCUUCGCAAGGGUAGUGAAAAGAUGCUUUUAAAAAAUCAGCACGGUGAAUGCAACGAGCGAACUGGACCGCAUCAACGAAACGUUUCCUUGUUGAAAUUCUCGGCUUUGUGCCGACUUUCAUACAAGAAACUUUUUCUACAUAGACGAUAUAAAGUAAACUUACAACGAUGAAUGUACAGGUCAAAUAUGAAAAUUUUAAAACACGUAAGUGUUCAGUGUGGCGAUAAUUAUAGCGUAAAUCGAUCCAUUUUUCAUAGGAGAAAAAUAUUCUGCUAACUUUAAUUUUUUAUUAAAUAUUAAUAUUUUAAUACUAAUAAUAAUAACAAUUGGAAAUUAUAAUAAAUUUUAUUUUUACAACUACUCGUAAAAUAUUGAGAAUUUUAAAAACUGAUAAAAAUUUGCCAACGAAACGAUCUAGAGAAAACGUGAUUUGAAUAAUAAAAGAAUUACUUAUAAAACAUCCGAUCGUAGGAGUUAAUGUUUUAAGCAUGUUGAUUGGUUGCUAACUCGAUUCUUAAUAUAUUCACCUUCUAAAGAUCUGGGGAAUCUCUUCAUAAGACAAAAGAAGAACUCGCUGCAUAUCCGAUGAAUAAAAGUUAAAUGAAAUUACAAAGUACGACGUUGAUUCAAGAAGAUGUCUUUAAGAUGAAAAAAAUAAAUCUUUAAGAUUCACUAUCGAUUCCUUUAAAAUCUAAACAAUUAAAUCUGCAAUUAAAAAAUUAAAUUGUUUAAUUUAA